CACCGCCGCGGGAAUACGUAGGGCGCAAGCGUUAUCCGGAUUUAUUGGGCGUAAAGAGCUCGUAGGCGGUUUGUCGCGUCUGCCGUGAAAGUCCGAGGCUCAACCUCGGAUCUGCGGUGGGUACGGGCAGACUAGAGUGAUGUAGGGGAGACUGGAAUUCCUGGUGUAGCGGUGAAAUGCGCAGAUAUCAGGAGGAACACCGAUGGCGAAGGCAGGUCUCUGGGCAUUUACUGACGCUGAGGAGCGAAAGCAUGGGGAGCGAACAGGAUUAGAUACCCGCGUAGUCCCUGUCUCUUAUACA
This 301-nucleotide ribosomal RNA is filed under the name uncultured bacterium. Its description in RNAcentral is "partial 16S ribosomal RNA". It matches the Rfam family "Bacterial small subunit ribosomal RNA", at positions 510 to 808 of the family's 1533-position model. The record is from RNAcentral.